CCUACGGGUGGCUGCAGUAGGGAAUAUUGCUCAAUGGGGGAAACCCUGAAGCAGCAACGCCGCGUGGAGGAUGAAGGUUUUAGGAUUGUAAACUCCUUUUGUGAGAGAAGAUAAUGACGGUAUCUCACGAAUAAGCACCGGCUAACUCCGUGCCAGCAGCCGCGGUAAUACGGAGGAUGCGAGCGUUAUCCGGAUUUAUUGGGUUUAAAGGGGGCGCAGGCGGAAGAUCAAGUCAGCGGGAAAGUCGAGAGGCGAAACCUCUUCGAGCCGUUGAAACUGGUUGUCUUGAGUGAGCGAGAGGUAUGCGGAAUGCGUGGUGUAGCGGUGAAAUGCAUAGAUAUCACGCAGAACUCCGAUUGCGAAGGCAGCAUACCGGCGCUCAACUGACGCUGAUGCACGAAAGUGUGGGUAUCGAACAGGAUUAGAUACCCCUGUAGUC
This 439-nucleotide ribosomal RNA is filed under the name uncultured bacterium. RNAcentral describes it as "partial 16S ribosomal RNA". It matches the Rfam family "Bacterial small subunit ribosomal RNA", at positions 338 to 795 of the family's 1533-position model. The record is from RNAcentral.